Molecule: ribosomal RNA, 537 nt
Filed under: uncultured Acidobacteriota bacterium
Lineage: Bacteria; Pseudomonadati; Acidobacteriota
Description: bacterial SSU rRNA
Rfam family: Bacterial small subunit ribosomal RNA
Source: RNAcentral
UUGAUCCUGGCUCAGAAUCAACGCUGGCGGCGUGCCUAACACAUGCAAGUCGAACGCGAAAGUCCCGCAAGGGAUCAGUAGAGUGGCAAACGGGUGAGUUACACGUGGGUGACCUGCCUUCGAGUGGGGGAUAACGUUUCGAAAGGAACUCUAAUACCGCAUAACAUCCUGCCUUUUAAGAGGUGGAGAUCAAAGCUGGUGAUCGCAAGACCUAGCGUUCGAAGAGGGGCCCGCGCCUGAUUAGCUAGUUGGUGGGGUAACGGCUCACCAAGGCGACGAUCAGUAUCCGGCCUGAGAGGUCGGACGGACACACUGGGACUGAGACACGGCCCAGACUCCUACGGGAAGCUGCAGUGGGGAAUUGUUCGCAAUGGGCGCAAGCCUGACGACGCAACGCCGUGUGGAGGAUGAAGAUCUUCGGGUCGUAAACUCCUUUCGAUCGAGACGAAUGGCCUCCGGGUGAACACCCUGGAGGAGUGACGGUACCGAGAGAAGAAGCUCCGGCUAACUCCGUGCCAGCAGCCGCGGUAAUAAGGU